AUAGUUGUCUAUACUUAAUGUCUGUGUUGCCAUCAUGUUCACCAAGGACUCUCAUAAGUCAAAUCAUCAUAUCUUAUGACAGCGCUUACCUGGGUGCCAAUCUUCGUCACACUGACAAGCGGCUGCAGCAAUCGGGACCCGCACCGCCACGAUACGCGUCACCACGCACACAUGACCGCGUCCAAUGGAAGCGUGCGCCUUCCAAUACGACAGCACGCUUCCCAACACGUCUCAUCAAUAUUCAGCAAGGGAGCGGGGCACGUUGCUGUUUUAGGUACGCCCACCUCGACGCAUGCCUUGGUGGAGGGGCGGAGCGACUGUUGUAGCACCGCCCUCGCGGGCCUCGGCGCGCGGCCGCGCUGGCCUUAUGAAUACUCAUAAGGGGGGCGGUCGGGAGGCGCCAAUUACCUUCUUCAGGCGAUAUUUCUCGUUUCCUUUAGUAAGGUGUGGAAGGACUGUAAGGUGAAAGUUCCUCUGGGCCAUUAAAAAAAUUAAAAGACUCAGUUGCUCGUAAGCACAAGUGAGGCCGUGGCCCAAGCUGCGGGUGACGUCACUGAAUCUUGCUGGUUGCUGCGGCUGCCUUUCGUGAACGUGAGACGGCCAAGGUGAUCCCAAUGGAUAGGGAUGCAACAGAAUCCGCGGGGUGGAAGGGGAAAUGGGAAUACAGCUGUAUUUUUUUUAAAUAAAUAAAAGCGGUCAAUAACGAAGGCUGCAAACCUGUGCACACGCACUUGGAACUAACUCCGUCGAGACCCCGGGGCUUCGGUCUGGCACCCUCAAGCACCAGCCCCCCAGCCCGUCUUGAUUGGGAACCAGAACCACCACGAAGUCCAAGAAAUCCUGGACUCGAGUCAAAAGGGGGGUCUCGUAUUAUCUGAUAAAGUUGAAACACUUCCCCUCCAGCGAAAAUGAAUGGGUGGCAGAAAAAGAUAUAUUGGCCCCCGAUUUAAUCAAGAAGUUCCAUCAGAAAUGUUCCACCAGGGCGGUAGUGGCGGCUUAGGGGGGGCAGUAUGUCAAGUCUGGCUUUAACUCUUGCUCACUCAAAGAGCAUGCUGGGUAGAACCAAAGUGUAACCAAAUGCUGCUAGCUAACUCUCCCCUGUUCCCCCCUCCCUUCCGUAGAGAAUGUCCCUGCUUUGAAAUGGUGAUGUGUGAAGUCUUAUCUGAACCUUCUCAGCUCAGGCUCGGGGGAGACAGGAAGCCUGGGAGUACCAAGGCCGUGGGCCUCUAAUCAACAUGAGAAUGUAUUAGUAACAUCUAUGUGUGAAUGUUCCCUUUGCUAGAUUCCCCGGCCCGCAGGAAUCCCUUUGAAGUGUUCCUUAUAUGCAAUGUAUCUAUUAUACGGUCUUCAGUCUUUUCAAGCUCUGGCCAAGGCCGCAAGUAACCAGUAUCAAUAAACUAGUUCUUUGUA
This is a long non-coding RNA of Heteronotia binoei (common prickly gecko), 1410 nucleotides long. RefSeq lists it as uncharacterized. The record is from RefSeq and is a predicted model, not a curated record. NCBI's taxonomy places the organism in Eukaryota, Metazoa, Chordata, Lepidosauria, Squamata, Gekkonidae. The transcript has 3 exons.